RNAcentral lists this ribosomal RNA (480 nucleotides) under Beauveria bassiana. RNAcentral's name for it is "SSU rRNA". It matches the Rfam family "Eukaryotic small subunit ribosomal RNA", at positions 673 to 1156 of the family's 1831-position model. Lineage: Eukaryota; Fungi; Ascomycota; Sordariomycetes; Hypocreales; Cordycipitaceae. The record is from RNAcentral.
GCAGUACUGGUCCGGCUGGACCUUUCCUUCUGGGGAACCUCAUGGCCUUCACUGGCUGUGGGGGGAACCAGGACUUUUACUGUGAAAAAAUUAGAGUGUUCAAAGCAGGCCUUUGCUCGAAUACAUUAGCAUGGAAUAAUAGAAUAGGACGUGCGGUUCUAUUUUGUUGGUUUCUAGGACCGCCGUAAUGAUUAAUAGGGAUAGUCGGGGGCGUCAGUAUUCAGCUGUCAGAGGUGAAAUUCUUGGAUUUGCUGAAGACUAACUACUGCGAAAGCAUUCGCCAAGGAUGUUUUCAUUAAUCAGGGAACGAAAGUUAGGGGAUCGAAGACGAUCAGAUACCGUCGUAGUCUUAACCAUAAACUAUGCCGACUAGGGAUCGGGCGGUGUUUCUAUGAUGACCCGCUCGGCACCUUACGAGAAAUCAAAGUUUUUGGGUUCUGGGCGGAGUAUGGUCGCAAGGCUGAAACUUAAAGAAAUUGA